GGUCAAGUUUUUAAGGGCACACGGUGGAUGCGCAUCAGGAGCCGAAGAAGGACGUAGGAAUCUGCGAUAAGCCUGGGGAGUUGAUAACCGAGCGUUGAUCCCAGGAUGUCCGAAUGGGGAACCCCGCCCGGCGCGAGUGACCGGGUGACCUGCAUCUGGAACACAUAGGGGGAGGGAACGCGGGGAAGGAAACAUCUCAGUACCCGCAGGAAGAGAAAACAACAGUGAUUCCGUUAGUGGUGGCGAGCGGAACGCGGAAGAGGCUAAACCAGUGGUGUGUGAUAGCCGGCGGGCGUUGCAUCACUGUGGGACUUUCCGUACCAGUUCUUGCCGGAUUGGUGAAGUGAGUGCAGGUGCAUAGGUGAACUGGCUUGAAAAGCCAGGCCGUAGAGGGUGUUAGCCCCGUAACCGGGAAUGUAUGCUGCCGCCGAGAGGAUCCCGCGAGCACGGGGCCCGGAGAAAUCCCGCGAAUCUGCCAGGACCACCUGGUAAGCCUAAAUACUCCCUGAUGACCGAUGGAUAGCGACAAGUACCGUGAGGGUAGAAAAGUACCCCGGGAGGGGGAGGAAAUAGUACGAAACCGUGUGCCUACAAACCGUUGGAGCAGCCUUGUAGCUGGACAGCGUGCCUUUGGAAGAAUGAGCCUGCGAGUUAGUGUUACGUCGCGAGGUUAACCCGUGUGGGGAAGCCGUAGGCGAAAGCGAGUCUGAAUAGGGCGAGUGAGUGGCGUGAUCUAGACCCGAAGCGGAGUGAUCUACCGGCGAAGGUUGAAGCGACGGUAAGACGUCGUGGAGGACCGAACCCACUCAGUUGAAAAUGGAGGGGAUGAGCUGUGGGGUAGGGGUGAAAGGCCAAUCAAACUCCGUGAUAGCUGGUCUCUCCCGGAAAUGCAUUUAGGUGCAGCGUUGCGUGUUUCUUACCGGAGGUAGAGCUACUGGAUGGCCGAUGGGCCCUACAAGGUUACUGACGUCAGCCAAACCCGGAAUGCCGGUAAGUGAAGAGAGCGCAGAGGAGACUGUGGGGGAUAAGCUUCAUAGUCGAGAGGGAAACAGCCCAGACCACCAACUAAGGCCCUAAGCGUGCUAUGGGAAAGGAUGUGGAGCGUCUAGACAACCAGGAGGUUGGCUUAGAAGCGCCACCCUUGAAAGAGUGCGUAAUAGCUCACUGGUCAGCGACCGCGCCGACAAUGUAGGGGCCUACACCGCCGAAGUUGUGGCAUUCAGAUUUUUGGUAACUCGUGGUUCAGCCGUCUGGAUGGGUAGGAGCGUCGUGGGCAGUGAAGCUGCGGUAAACCAGUGGUGGAUUCACGAGUGAGAAUGCAGGCAUGAGUACGAAAGACGGGUGAGGUAAACCCGCCGCCGAAUGAUCGGGUCCAGGUCAAGCUAAUCUGCCCUGGAGUCGGGACCUAAGGCGAGGCCGACAGGCGUAGUCGAUGGACAACGGGUUGAUAUUCCCGUACCGGCGAAAAAACCGCCCAUACCCAAACGGGGAUACUAACCGCCCAUACCUGGACCGGCCGCCUUGUGGCGACCCGGUUUUUGGUGGAGCGCGGGACCGUAACCCGGGAGGUAAGCGUAUUAACAGGUGUGACGCAGGAAGGUAGCCGGGCCAGGCGAUGGUAGUCCUGGUCUAAGGAUGUAGGGUCAGUGAUAGGCAAAUCCGUCACCGUGUUCUUUGAUGACGCACCCGAGAUCUGAUGGGACCCCGAACGGGGGAAUCCGGGUGAUCCUAUGCUGCCUAGAAAGCAUCGGCGCGAGAGUUUUAGCCGCCCGUACCCCAAACCGACACAGGUGAUCAGGUAGAGAAUACUAAGGCGAUCGGAGAGAAUUAUGGUUAAGGAACUCGGCAAAAUGCCCCCGUAACUUCGGGAGAAGGGGCUCGCCCGUGACCGUCACUUGCUGGCGUGAGCGGGUGGGGCCGCAGAGACCAGGGGGAAGCGACUGUUUACUAAAAACACAGGUCCGUGCGAAGUCGCAAGACGAUGUAUACGGGACUGAUUGCCCGGUGCUGGAAGGUUAAGAGGACCGGUUCCCUACGGGGCGAAGCUGGGAAUUUAAGCCCCAGUAAACGGCGGUGGUAACUAUAACCAUCCUAAGGUAGCGAAAUUCCUUGUCGGGCAAGUUCCGACCUGCACGAAUGGAGUAACGACUUCCCGCUGUCUCAACCAUAAACUCGGCGAAAUUGCAGUACGAGUAAAGAUGCUCGUUACGCGCGAGGACGGAAAGACCCCGAGACCUUACCAUAGUUUGGUAUUGGUGUUCGGUGGCUUGUGUAGGAUAGGUGGGAGAGUCGAGACCCGGGACGCCAGUUCGGGUGGAGCCAUUGAAAUACCACUCUGGUCAUACGGGAUAUCUAACUUGCCCGUAAUCCGGGUCAGGGACAGUGCCUGAUGGGUAAGUCGAUCCGGGGCGGUGCCUCCAAAGAGUAACGGAGGCGCCCAAAGGUUCCCCAGCCUGGUUGGCAAUCAGGUGUCGAGUGUAAGGCACAAGGGAGCUUGACCAGGAGAGACAUCUCACAGGACGAAAGUCGGGACUAGUGAUCCGCGGUACAUUGUGGAAUGGCCGUCGCUCAACGGAUAAAAGGUACCUCGGGGAUAACAGGCUGAUCUUGCCCAAGAGUCCAUGUCGACGGCAUGGCUUGGCACCCGAUGUCGGCUCGUCGCAUCCUGGGGCUGGAGUAGGUCCCAAGGGCUGGGCUGUUCGCCCAUUAAAGCGGACGCGAGCUGGCUGAACGUCGGAGACAGUUCGGUCCCACGCUGCGGCGCGCAGGAAAUUUGAGAAGGGCUGUCCUUAGACGAGAGGACCGGGACGGACGAACCUCUGGUGUGUCAGUUGUCCAAGUGCACCGCUGAUUAGCUACGUUCGGAUGGGAUAACCGCUGAAAGCAUCUAAGCGGGAAGCCUGCUUGAGAUGAGAUUCCAUACACCUUGUGUGUGAGAGGCCCCCAGCCAGACCACUGGGUUGAUAGGCCGGAUGUGGAAGCGGGGACUAAAGACCCGUGAAGCUGACCGGUACUAAUAGGCCGAUAACUUACACCAC
RNAcentral lists this ribosomal RNA (3038 nucleotides) under Arthrobacter sp. Helios. Its description in RNAcentral is "23S ribosomal RNA". It matches the Rfam family "Bacterial large subunit ribosomal RNA". The record is from RNAcentral. Lineage: Bacteria; Bacillati; Actinomycetota; Actinomycetes; Micrococcales; Micrococcaceae.